This 379-nucleotide transfer-messenger RNA is filed under the name bovine gut metagenome. It matches the Rfam family "transfer-messenger RNA". Rfam says of the family: Bacterial tmRNA, also known as 10Sa RNA or SsrA, is named for its dual tRNA and mRNA-like properties. Its role is to liberate the mRNA from a stalled ribosome. The record is from RNAcentral.
GGGGAUGACUAGGUUUCGACGGGAAUAUUAGAGCAUAGAUCGCAAGUCGGAGGAACACGUCACGAACAAAAAGCAAUAAAUGCUAACAAAAUUAAAAAUGCGUUUGCAAACAUGUUUGGUGGAAGCCAAGCAUAUGCAAUGGCCUAAUUUAAUAUAAAGGCACGCACUCUACCUAUUAUUAUCUACGUAAUAGAUUAGGGUUCAAAUUAGUAGGUUAUAGCUAUUAUUUGUCUAGAUAAUAGAAAGAAUCUUUAGACUGGUAUAACUAUUUUGUCGUUAACUACUUGAUAGUUAUAUGAGAUUAUUUAGUUAACUAAGCUUGUAGAAGUUUAUGUAGCUGUAUUUUCGGACAGGAGUUCGAUUCUCCUCAUCUCCACCA